AUGGAGAAAGGGGCAGAGACUGUGAUCAAGAGGCAGGAAGAAAAGCAAGGGCUAGACAAGCAGCAACGGUGGCAGGAAGGAGAGGUAUGGGAGGAGCAGCCAACACAGAGGACUCUGACGCAUUCUGACCAACACGAGAAGCAGAGGCAAACGGGAAAGGAGCAAGAACAGAAGCCCAAGCAGCAAGAGCUGGAAGCAGGGAAGCAAACAAUGAACCAGCAAGAGGUGGUCCCGAAGAAGAAUGAGGAGAAGCUGAGCCAGGGCCUGAAGACAGAGACAGCUGGAGCUGAACACAAACGCCGCUCCCCCCUUCACCAAGUCCUCACCACCUGGAGCCCUGCCCGCUUACCCAAAAGCCCAUCCAAAGUACAAAACUCUUACUCUUCUGAAAACCCAGGCCCUGACGACCACUGUGACCCCCCAGCAGGCCCAGACCCUGACAACCACUCUAACCCACAGCAGGCCCAGGCCCUGGGGAAAAACUAUGACCUCCUAGCAGGCCCAUGCCGUGGGUACCACUCUGACCACCCAGCAGGCAGAAACCCUGGGGACCACUCUGACCCAUCAGCAGGCACAGGCCCUGGAGAUCACUCUAAUCCCCAAGCAGGCCCAGGUACUGGGGAAAACACUGACCACCCAGCAGGCCCAAGCCCUGGGGACCACUCUUACCCAUCAGCAGGCCCAGGCCCUGGGGACCACUCUUACCCAUCAGCAGGCCCAGGCCCUGGGGACCACUCUCACCCAUCAGCAGGCCCAGUCCAUGGGGACCACUCUGAGCCCUCAGCAAGCACAGUCUCUGGGGAACACUCUGACUCCCUAGCAAGCCCAGGACCUGGGGAUCACAGUUCACCCUCAGCAAACACAGGCUCUGGGGACCACUCUGACCCCCCCCCCCAAAAAAAAGCCAAGGCUAUAAGGCCUCUAACCCCUCAGUUGGCCCAGGCUGCGGGGACUAUGACUCCUCAGCAGGCCCCGGCCCUGAGGACCACUCUGGCCUCUCACCACACUCAGACUCAGGGGGCCCACCUUACCCCUGACACGGCCCCUCCUACUCCAGGGCAGCCCCUUGAGCUGGAGGCAGUGAGGCCUAAGCAGGACUUUCCUCAAACUGCCCGGCCACCUCCAGCAAUGAAGGCCCCGCUCACUCCCAGGUGGCCUAUUCGAUCUGGAACAACAUCCACCUCUACAAAGAGCCCAGUUCUCCAUGGUCCUCUCUCUCCUGGCCAGUCCUUGGCUCCUGGUCUGUCUUCCUUCCCUGGAAAGCUCUUGGAGUCUGGAACCUCCUCUGCACAGCCUCCUGUCUCCACUGGGAAGCCCCCCUCUCUCCAGGACCCUUCUGCCCUUGCGCAGCUUCUGGCACCACUGACCCUCCCUGGGGAAGCUUUCCCACCAAGGAUCCCUCCCACAUCCUGGCAUGCUCCAGGGUAUGGUCACCCUAAGUCCCUGGAAUGCCCCAAGAAAGGCAUGUCCUCCUCUGCCAGGAAGAAAAGAUUGGCAAGAUUUCUUCUCUGA
RNAcentral lists this long non-coding RNA (1512 nucleotides) under Oryctolagus cuniculus (rabbit). RNAcentral's name for it is "lncRNA (ENSOCUG00000034915.1)". Lineage: Eukaryota; Metazoa; Chordata; Mammalia; Lagomorpha; Leporidae. The record is from RNAcentral.